ACCUAAUUCCUUCAAUUGUUGUUCCAAGCCAAGGUCUUUUAAGAACAAACACCAGUCGAUGUCUCUGCAGCUUUUGGGCGUCUCUUCAGUUGUCCAGUAGAGUUCCUAGAAUAAUCAAUAGAAAAUUAUUAAAUCAUGCACAUUAAAAAGAAUGAUGUCUAGUCUAAUUUCUAUUUACUGAAGCACUUACUUUCACAUUUAUCGGCGGCAUUGGAGGGAGUGGAUCCACCGCUAUGUUGACAAACUUCAACAGAUCCUGAUAAUCGAGUUUUCCUUGCUCGUUUUUGUGAAGACUAUAAUAAUUUAAUUCAUCAUGAAAAGGAAAUCCUUUAAGAACAUUGCAAAGUACAUCAACAAUUUUGUUACCGAUCAAGCAUCAGGUUGAUCAGUUCUUUUUGAAGAGGGAUUCUGCUAGCGCGCAAUAUAGUAUAAAGUUGAUUGCGAUUCAAGUAUCCAAUCCUUUCUCUGUCCCACUCGCGAAUGUCUUCCUCGAGCCUGUCCAGUUCAUUCCAAACGUGACGAGUCAGCUCCGUAUGCACCAAAGCUCUGGAAUUACACACAAGAUUUAUAUUUCACGUUUGAGAAUUUCUCUUAUGCAGAUAAUUCAUUUCUGUAAGUAAAAGAGUAAGUGUUAAAAUCGAAAGACCUGCUUUACCUUACGUACUCGCGAGGACAAACUUCCUUAUGUUCACGGAAGGAGUAGUGACGAGCCACCGUCAUUACUUCGUGCUCCGUAAUAUGGUCGCCGAGUUGCGAUGAAAUACCUCAAACAAGAAAGCCUCAAUACCGGGGGAUGAUCGUCGUUCUUAAGCGUUGAACGUGCGCUCGUCUGCAGUUUCUAUCUGAAAUCGGAAGCCUUGCAGAUUGACGGUGGUGCCGACGAAGAAAUCCUGAGGUUCGUAGUACUUUGGCUCUUCGCUGCUAAACAUGUUCUGCCCGGGUAGGCGAAGUCGUGUUCUCUUUUGAAACAGACUCUUCGUGUGUCCUAUUUUAUAAAUAAAAUAAUAAAAAGUAAAAACCUGGCACCUUGGAUACUGACGAUAAA
Molecule: long non-coding RNA, 1045 nt
Organism: Nasonia vitripennis (jewel wasp)
Lineage: Eukaryota; Metazoa; Arthropoda; Insecta; Hymenoptera; Pteromalidae
Exons: 3
Source: RefSeq, a predicted model, not a curated record